Molecule: long non-coding RNA, 941 nt
Filed under: Heterocephalus glaber (naked mole-rat)
Lineage: Eukaryota; Metazoa; Chordata; Mammalia; Rodentia; Bathyergidae
Description: lncRNA (ENSHGLG00000042801.1)
Source: RNAcentral
GAAAGCAACUCUAGUGGCCAGGCAAAGUAUAAUCAGUCAAUAUAUUUUUCUUCAAACAAAAAAAAUAUGCAAUAAUGAGAAUAUAAAAACGGAAAUCAUUCUACAUGCCCAGUGCUCCUGGAUAUAAGAAUGCAUGAAGGGACAGAGAGAGAAGGUAAAAAAGACAAGUUUACCUCUGUAGAAAGGAUUAUUAGAAAAUACAGAUGCUCAAAAUAUUUUUGGAAAGAUCAGACUAUUCUUAGGAAUAUGAGCCAUUCCUUUGAAUGUUGGAGUCAGCUCCAGUCUUCCUGCUCACAUCAGUGAACAACAGCUGUCCAUCACCGGACUUACCCGUUUCCUGUUAACCUCCAAGGCAACAACGACUGUUCAAUUUCUGAUUUUUCUUUCUACAAACCAGUUUCUUCUUCAUCAAAAUGAAGAAAGUACUCAGAAAUCAAGACUUCAUUUACACUCCCAGUAUCCUCAGGAGGAAGUCAAAUGACAGAAAAUCCAUUCUUCAAAGAAAAAAAGUUGUCUAGACUGUGUAUGUGACAGUGUAAAAUAGAGUGAUUCUGAAUAGACUGACCCUUCUGCCACAGAGAUAAAACCUGGAUCACCCGAACCUUCUCUUUACCCUCAGACUACCUGAGCCCUUGGAAAGACAAAAAUCUUCCCUCAUUCAGCCACUUCUCUCUCUCUUCUUCACUCCUACACCACAAACUACAAAUCCUUUCUUCUCCCUCAUUUCAAAGACAAGUCCUCAUUCCCUCCUUAGAGAAUAUACUAACAUGUACCUCUUGACAUCUUUGGAGGUUGAGGAAGAAAUCAACCAACCCAGGCAGAGAAUAACAGAUUCCUUAAAAAAGAACCCAUCAAAGAGAACAUUAUACUCAAGAGAUGCAUUUGCAAGGCAAAAGUGAAAAAGAAAAAAAAUAUAAAAGAAAAAAUAACAUGUACAAGAA